CGUGCUUGCGAGAUAAAUCAAUUAAAGUCAGGCGGCAUACACUUAUGGUGUUGACUCACUUGAUCCUAAAUGAUAUGGUAAAAGUUAAAGGUCAAGUUUGUGAAAUAGCUAUGUGCUUGGAGGAUGAGGAAAGCCGCAUAAGAGACAUGU
This 150-nucleotide non-coding RNA is filed under the name Corethron hystrix. Lineage: Eukaryota; Bacillariophyta; Corethrophyceae; Corethrales; Corethraceae. The record is from RNAcentral.